RNAcentral lists this transfer RNA (71 nucleotides) under Loxodonta africana (African savanna elephant). It matches the Rfam family "tRNA". Rfam says of the family: Transfer RNA (tRNA) molecules are approximately 80 nucleotides in length. Their secondary structure includes four short double-helical elements and three loops (D, anti-codon, and T loops). Further hydrogen bonds mediate the characteristic L-shaped molecular structure. tRNAs have two regions of fundamental functional importance: the anti-codon, which is responsible for specific mRNA codon recognition, and the 3' end, to which the tRNAs corresponding amino acid is attached (by aminoacyl-tRNA synthetases). tRNAs cope with the degeneracy of the genetic code in two manners: having more than one tRNA (with a specific anti-codon) for a particular amino acid; and 'wobble' base-pairing, i.e. permitting non-standard base-pairing at the 3rd anti-codon position. Lineage: Eukaryota; Metazoa; Chordata; Mammalia; Proboscidea; Elephantidae. The record is from Rfam by way of RNAcentral.
GCAGUGGUGGUUCAGUGGUGGAGUUCUUGCCUUCCACAUGGGAGACCUGGGUUCAAUUCCCGGCCAGUGCA